RNAcentral lists this ribosomal RNA (491 nucleotides) under uncultured bacterium. RNAcentral's name for it is "partial 16S ribosomal RNA". It matches the Rfam family "Bacterial small subunit ribosomal RNA", at positions 28 to 507 of the family's 1533-position model. The record is from RNAcentral.
GAUGAACGCUGGCUACAGGCUUAACACAUGCAAGUCGAGGGGAAACGACGGGGAAGCUUGCUUCCCCGGGCGUCGACCGGCGCACGGGUGAGUAACGCGUAUCCAACCUGCCUCUGACUGAGGGAUAACCCGUCGAAAGUCGGCCUAAUACCUCAUGGCAUCGUCUGCGGGCAUCCAACGACGAUUAAAGAUUUCAUCGGUCAGGGAUGGGGAUGCGUCUGAUUAGCUUGGUGGCGGGGUAACGGCCCACCAAGGCUACGAACAGUAGGGGUUCUGAGAGGCAGGUCCCCAACAAUGGAACUGAGACACGGUCCAAACUCCUACGGGACGCAGCAGUGAGGAAUAUUGGUCAAUGGGCGGGAGCCUGAACCAGCCAAGUAGCGUGCAGGAUGACGGCCCUAGGGGUUGUAAACUGCUUUUAGGCGGGGAUAAAGUGAGGGACGUGUCCUUCAUUGCAGGUACCGAAUGAAUAAGGACCGGCUAAUUCCGUG